GUUUUGGUAGCUUAACUCAAAGCGUCGGCCUUGUAAGUCGAAGACCAGGGGUUUAAACCCCCUCCAAAACA
RNAcentral lists this transfer RNA (71 nucleotides) under Parmaturus xaniurus. RNAcentral describes it as "tRNA-Thr". It matches the Rfam family "tRNA". From Rfam's summary of the family: Transfer RNA (tRNA) molecules are approximately 80 nucleotides in length. Lineage: Eukaryota; Metazoa; Chordata; Chondrichthyes; Carcharhiniformes; Scyliorhinidae. The record is from RNAcentral.